AUUGAACGCUGGCGGCAUGCCUAACACAUGCAAGUCGAACGGAAGAAGGCUGCUUGUUCCUGGAUUCAGCGGCGGAAGCGGGAGUAUUGCCUAUGAAUCGGCUUGGUAGUGGGGGAUAAUGACCGCAAGCGGGCGGUACUACUGCCUACGACCUGCGCCUGCUGGUGGGUGUGGUUCGGACCUCUCGCUAUCAGAGGAGCGUAGGUCGGAUUAGGUAGUUGGUGGGGUGAAGGCCUACUUAGCCGACGAUCAGUAACUGGUCGGAGAGGAGGAUCAGUCACACUGGAACUGAGACACGGUCCAGACUCCUACGGGAGGGAGCAGUGGGGAAUGUUGGACAAUGGGCGAAAGCCUGAUCCAGCGAUGCCGAGUGUGUGAAGAAGGCCUUCGGUUUGGAAAGCACGUUUGGUUGGUAUGAAGGGCAUUAGGUUAAUACCUUGCUUUAUUGACGGUACCGGCAGAAGAAGCACCGGCUAACUUCGUG
This 484-nucleotide ribosomal RNA is filed under the name uncultured bacterium. RNAcentral's name for it is "partial 16S ribosomal RNA". It matches the Rfam family "Bacterial small subunit ribosomal RNA", at positions 30 to 507 of the family's 1533-position model. The record is from RNAcentral.